UGUGAGAGUGAUGAGUUGCACUAUUGAAGGAGUAGUAAUGCAGUGACAUAGCUGCUCCUUUCUGAACCCUGAGGACUAAACAAUGUGCACAGGGGCCAUCUGACUCACA
Molecule: small nucleolar RNA, 109 nt
Organism: Carcharodon carcharias (great white shark)
Lineage: Eukaryota; Metazoa; Chordata; Chondrichthyes; Lamniformes; Lamnidae
Product: small nucleolar RNA SNORD67
Exons: 1
Source: RefSeq, a predicted model, not a curated record